This 56-nucleotide microRNA precursor is filed under the name Melibe leonina. Its description in RNAcentral is "microRNA mle-mir-281 precursor". Its record names the gene mle-mir-281. It matches the Rfam family "mir-46/mir-47/mir-281 microRNA precursor family", at positions 15 to 72 of the family's 85-position model. Rfam says of the family: The hairpin precursors (represented here) are predicted based on base pairing and cross-species conservation -- their extents are not known. In this case the mature sequences are expressed from the 3' arms of the hairpin precursors. Lineage: Eukaryota; Metazoa; Mollusca; Gastropoda; Nudibranchia; Dendronotidae. The record is from miRBase by way of RNAcentral.
AAGGGAGCAUCCGUCGACAGUUGGAGAUGAAUACUGUCAUGGAGUUGCUCUCUUUA